CAGCCGCCGCGGUAAUACAGAGGGUGCGAGCGUUAAUCGGAUUUACUGGGCGUAAAGCGUGCGUAGGCGGCUUCUUAAGUCGGAUGUGAAAUCCCUGAGCUUAACUUAGGAAUUGCAUUCGAUACUGGGAAGCUAGAGUAUGGGAGAGGAUGGUAGAAUUCCAGGUGUAGCGGUGAAAUGCGUAGAGAUCUGGAGGAAUACCGAUGGCAAAGGCGACUAUCUGGGCCAACACUGACACUGAGGCACGAAAGCGUGGGGAGCAAACAGGAUUAGAUACCCCCGUAGUCCCUGUCUCUUAUAC
RNAcentral lists this ribosomal RNA (301 nucleotides) under uncultured bacterium. RNAcentral describes it as "partial 16S ribosomal RNA". It matches the Rfam family "Bacterial small subunit ribosomal RNA", at positions 509 to 807 of the family's 1533-position model. The record is from RNAcentral.